AUUAACUCGCAGGACAGACAGUUUACCAUAAACACUCAAGUACAGAAAGAAAUCAAUAACCUUACCAUUACAGUAAAUAAAAUCCUGAAAUUAACAAAAGAAAGAGAAAUAAACACCGGUCACCUUUAUGACAUACUACUGGCUAGAAACAGAGCAAUUAUUACAGAAUUAAAUAACAUUAUAACAGCUGUCACUUUCGCCAAAAUUGGGGUCUUAAGUCCCAUUCUCUUAGACAGUAACGAAAUAAAUUUCAUAACAGGAGACGAGCACUUCACUGACCUUACCGUGGCCGAUGUUAUGGCAGUAGCUAGAAUUAAGAUAUUACAGUAUAAUAACAUAAUUUACUUUUUAAUAAGAUAUCCGAUUCCUAUGUUUAGAUGUAAGAAAAUUACUAUUUUACCGGUAGCUCAUGGCCACCAAAUCCUGCACCUAGAAGAAUCCAUCUUAGCCAAGUGUUAUAACCAUACCGUAGCCGUAAAGAACUGCAGCGACACAACACCAACGUUUUGCUUACCAUCUCCGACUACAUCAUGCGCUCUGCAACUACUGACUCGCAACACCGCUAAUUGCAGUACAACAUUUAACAACCUCACACCAAUUUCACCGAUAAGUGACGGCCUUGUUGUCAUCAAUGACCAAUUGGCUGUCAUCGAGGAAAAUAAUGAGGUCCCUAUUACGGUCAACGGAACAUACCUCGUGGUCUUCAAAAACAACGUAAAGAUUAAUGGUACGACUUUUUAUAACGAAAAUUCUACAUUGCCUCUAAAACCUGAAACUCCAUGGGCUUCUACAAUCAACUUGACGCAGCACACAGAAAUAUUAAGCGCUUCUUACCUUCACCAUGUGAAUCUAGAGAAUGUUCAAAGGAUCAAUCACCUGCAGCGAUCAAUCCAUUAUGGCCACGUUACAGGUUUCUCAGCCAUUGGUGUCUUAUUAAUCAUGGCAUUCACUGUUUACGUCCUUCUCAGGAUAAGGAGGACCAAGAGAGAGAUUAUCAUAGCCAGGUCCGUUGAAACUGCAAUUAAAACCGCUUCUUUGAGGACCGAGGACGUUCCCCAUUUAGAAGGGGAGGAGUUAUCGCGAAGAAACGACACACCCUAAUUCCCGUCGUAAUAAGAGCCUACCACUCUGCACAUGUCGCUAAGUCAGCACAUUUUGCGUGAGAACAUUGGCCAGACAUCUAAGUAAACAAACACCAUGCACGAGGCGCAAGGUCAGCAAAACGUCAGCAGAGGAGCUACAACGCGAUGCGGGUUGGUGGCUUGAGCUAAGUUAGGAAUAAUUUAAUGGGCACUUUAUACUUGACAACUAAGCCGUGAUGACGGCAAAUAAAAUAACUUCAAAUUGAAUAAUACAUUUGAAUAAUUUACACAUACUAUUGUUUCAGGUAAUUAUGGCUACGGUGACCAUCCGUACUGAUUUUCGCAGUACUGUACUGAUUUUGAAGCACCUGUUGUGCGUUUUUUUUUUGUGAAAAUGGCAAAAAUGUUCUGUUUUUUUUCCGAACGUACUGUUUUUUGUUCUGAAAUUUAGCACCAAGCAGCUUAAGAAGUUUCUACUACUGGACAGCCCUUUAAUGAUUAAGGUAUUAUCAAUAUUAAAUUGUCAUCCCUGAUGUGAACAGCUGAUUGCGGGUUUGAAUUAUUAUGCUUUCUGUAAUGUUCAAUUGACAAACAACUAGCUUUACAAAAUGCCUCCUUCCGCAGAAAAUGCGUUUUUAAUAAACAACUACAAGAAGAAUACACCUUCAUAAAGGAAAUUAACAGCGGUACAGUGAAAUGUACAAAAUGUUCUGCAGUUUUCUCUAUUGCCAAUGCAGGUAAACACGAUGUGCUCCGCCAUUUACAAUCUCAGAAACAUCGAAAAGCCGAUAUUGGAGCUUCUAGCAGCAAAACUGUGAUGAGCUUUGUAAGGACACGUACAAUAGACGAUCAGCGAAGAAAAAGCAGCGUAAAUGAAGGCACCUGGGCAUAUCACACUGUGCAGCAUAAUUUUUCAUUUCGUUCCAAUGACUGCACAUCGAAAAUCAUUAAAAGAUGUUUUGACGAAAAUUAUUCAUCAGCUCGCACCAAGUGUCAAUCUAUUGUUUAUAAUGUGUUAGCAUGCAUUGCAACUAGUGAAAGCUGAUUUUAAUGCUAUCAAUUUUACUGCCGUUUUUUCCGACUGCUCAAAUCAUGGAAGUAUGAAAGUGUGUCCUGUUCUUGUUCGAUAUUUUCUGUCUGAGAAAGGUGUGCAAUUAAAAAUAUUGGAAGUAAAUGAUCUCCGUGGUGAAUCGUCAGAUAUACAAACAAAUUAUAUUUCUGAUCUCAUGAAAAAGUUUGCAUUAAGUGAGAAGUUACUUGCUCUUUGUGCAGAUAACACUAAUUGUAACUUUGGAGGAGCUGCAAGACAGGGGAAAAAUAAUCUUUUCCAUAAAUUGGCAGAAUCCACUGGCAGCACCCUUAUUGGCGUAAACUGUGCUGCUCAUACUGUUAUUAAUUGCAUACAAAGUUCAAUAGAGUGUCUUCCGGUGGAUAUUGAAGUCAUUGUCGUUAAAAUAUAUUCUUACUUUUGUAUUAUAUAUACACGGUUAGAGUAGAGCAUUUAAAAGAAAUU
This is a long non-coding RNA of Bactrocera dorsalis (oriental fruit fly), 2595 nucleotides long. RefSeq lists it as uncharacterized. The record is from RefSeq and is a predicted model, not a curated record. The transcript has 2 exons. NCBI's taxonomy places the organism in Eukaryota, Metazoa, Arthropoda, Insecta, Diptera, Tephritidae.